GGGGGAGCAAUCCCCCCUAGAGCGGCGGACUGGUGAGUAACGCGUGGGCGACCUGGCCCGGGGAUGGGGACAGCCGCUGGAAACAGCGGGUAAUACCGAAUACGUCCGUGCAGCCAAGGCUGCAUGGGGAAAGGGGCUACGGCCCCGCCCCGGGAUGGGCCCGCGUCCCAUUAGCUGGUUGGUGUGGUAACGGCGCACCAAGGCGAAGAUGGGUAGCCGGCCUGAGAGGGCGAACGGCCACACUGGGACUGAGAUACGGCCCAGACUCCUACGGGAGGCAGCAGCUAAGAAUAUUCCGCAAUGGGCGAAAGCCUGACGGAGCGACGCCGCGUGGAUGACGAAGGCCGAAAGGUUGUAAAAUCCUUUUGCGGGCGAAGAAGAAGGCGUGGAGGGAAUGCCAUGCCGGUGACGCCGGCCCGCGAAUAAGCCCCGGCUAAUUACGUGCCAGCAGCCGCGGUAACACGUAAGGGGCGAGCGUUGUUCGGAAUUAUUGGGCGUAAAGGGCGCGUAGGCGGCCGCGUAAGUCUGAUGUGAAAACCCCGGGCUCAACCCGGGAACUGCAUUGGAAACUGCGCGGCUUGAGUCACGGAGGGGAAGCCGGAAUUCCUGGUGUAGGGGUGAAAUCUGUAGAUAUCAGGAAGAACACCGAUGGCGAAGGCAGGCUUCCAGCCGAUGACUGACGCUGAGGCGCGAAAGUGCGGGGAGCAAACAGGAUUAGAUACCCUGGUAGUCCGCACUGUAAACGAUGCGCACUAGCGUCGGGGCGAGCGUCCCGGUGCCGAAGCGAACGCGGUAAGUGCGCCGCCUGGGGAGUAUGCCCGCAAGGGUGAAACUCAAGGAAUUGACGG
RNAcentral lists this ribosomal RNA (848 nucleotides) under uncultured bacterium. RNAcentral describes it as "bacterial SSU rRNA". It matches the Rfam family "Bacterial small subunit ribosomal RNA", at positions 73 to 916 of the family's 1533-position model. The record is from RNAcentral.